RNAcentral lists this ribosomal RNA (253 nucleotides) under uncultured bacterium. RNAcentral's name for it is "partial 16S ribosomal RNA". It matches the Rfam family "Bacterial small subunit ribosomal RNA", at positions 524 to 776 of the family's 1533-position model. The record is from RNAcentral.
UACGAAGGGGGCUAGCGUUGCUCGGAAUCACUGGGCGUAAAGCGCGCGUAGGCGGACUCUUAAGUCGGGGGUGAAAUCCUGGAGCUCAACUCCAGAACUGCCUUCGAUACUGAGAGUCUUGAGUCCGAGAGAGGUGAGUGGAACUGCGAGUGUAGAGGUGAAACUCGUAGAUAUUCGCAAGAACACCAGUGGCGAAGGCGGCUCACUGGCUCGGUACUGACGCUGAGGUGCGAAAGCGUGGGGAGCAAACAGG